RNAcentral lists this ribosomal RNA (1017 nucleotides) under uncultured bacterium. RNAcentral's name for it is "bacterial SSU rRNA". It matches the Rfam family "Bacterial small subunit ribosomal RNA", at positions 355 to 1375 of the family's 1533-position model. The record is from RNAcentral.
UGAGGAAUAUUGGUCAAUGGACGAGAGUCUGAACCAGCCAAGUAGCGUGAAGGAUGACUGCCCUAUGGGUUGUAAACUUCUUUUAUACGGGAAUAAAGUGAGGCACGUGUGCCUUUUUGUAUGUACCGUAUGAAUAAGGAUCGGCUAACUCCGUGCCAGCAGCCGCGGUAAUACGGAGGAUCCGAGCGUUAUCCGGAUUUAUUGGGUUUAAAGGGAGCGUAGGCGGACGCUUAAGUCAGUUGUGAAAGUUUGCGGCUCAACCGUAAAAUUGCAGUUGAUACUGGGUGUCUUGAGUACAGUAGAGGCAGGCGGAAUUCGUGGUGUAGCGGUGAAAUGCUUAGAUAUCACGAAGAACUCCGAUUGCGAAGGCAGCUUGCUGGACUGUAACUGACGCUGAUGCUCGAAAGUGUGGGUAUCAAACAGGAUUAGAUACCCUGGUAGUCCACACAGUAAACGAUGAAUACUCGCUGUUUGCGAUAUACAGUAAGCGGCCAAGCGAAAGCGUUAAGUAUUCCACCUGGGGAGUACGCCGGCAACGGUGAAACUCAAAGGAAUUGACGGGGGCCCGCACAAGCGGAGGAACAUGUGGUUUAAUUCGAUGAUACGCGAGGAACCUUACCCGGGCUUGAAUUGCAACUGAAUGAUGUGGAGACAUGUCAGCCGCAAGGCGGUUGUGAAGGUGCUGCAUGGUUGUCGUCAGCUCGUGCCGUGAGGUGUCGGCUUAAGUGCCAUAACGAGCGCAACCCUUAUCGAUAGUUACCAUCAGGUUAUGCUGGGGACUCUGUCGAGACUGCCGUCGUAAGAUGUGAGGAAGGUGGGGAUGACGUCAAAUCAGCACGGCCCUUACGUCCGGGGCUACACACGUGUUACAAUGGGGGGUACAGAAGGCAGCUACACGGCGACGUGAUGCUAAUCCCUAAAGCCUCUCUCAGUUCGGAUUGGAGUCUGCAACCCGACUCCAUGAAGCUGGAUUCGCUAGUAAUCGCGCAUCAGCCACGGCGCGGUGAAUACGUUCCC